This 3967-nucleotide unclassified non-coding RNA is filed under the name Lucilia cuprina (Australian sheep blowfly). RNAcentral's name for it is "putative uncharacterized protein DDB_G0286901, transcript variant X1". Lineage: Eukaryota; Metazoa; Arthropoda; Insecta; Diptera; Calliphoridae. The record is from RNAcentral.
UAUAAAUAACUUUUUAUAAAUAAACAUUAACCAAAAUGGAUAAAUAAUCAUAAAUCUAUAAAAACAAAAGUUUUUAAAUAAAAAUAACACAAAAAUGUUUAGUGUUUAGCAUAUAAAAUGAAUAAAUACAAUAAUAAUGGUAAUUUCUCCAGAGCCCCUGUAGGGGACUCUUCAAUGCGUUUUAAUAAACGUCCACGUUAUGGAGUAAAUAAUAGUGGCGCUAAAAGUUCGCCUAGGUUCAAACGUCAAAAUCAAACUGGCUAUCAAUAUUCGCCAAAUAGAAAUGUUACAACAGAUCCUUUUCAGUGUAAUCCAUAUGAUAAAGGCCCCAGAAAUUUUUAUGGCAUUUCACCGAAACGACCAAAUUAUAAUCCACAAAAGAAUAACCAGUCAUCGUCACCUUAUUUACAUAAGCCUAACGCAUCAGCGAUUUCAUCUCCCUCCUCCUCCUCAUCAUUUUCUCUGAAUACCCAAAAUGUUUUAAAUUUACCACCAACUCAACCGCCACCUAUGUCCUCAACUUCAGUGGCGGCACAAAAUAGCCAACAGCAGCAGCUCACUCCCAAUAUGAUGGAUAAUUCUAAUUUAUAUGGAUUUGGUUAUAAUAGUUAUUAUCCCACCAGUUAUAAUAACGACAGAGUUUCGACAGAUACCACUUCAUCAUAUGGCGUGACUGAUGCUAUAACUCCAUUUAUGUGGCAAACAAUAACAUCUACACCACCGCCAAAAUUGCCACAACAUCAGCUGCAGCAACAGCCGCCACUGCCUCAACCACAGCCACCACCUAUACUACCUCCAUUGCCAAGUGAUGAUAAAUUGCCAUAUUUACCGCCACCACCAAUGUCCGCUUCCUCUAUGUCUCCUACAACAUCGUCACCAAGUUCAGCAAAAUUUAAUUUCAAAAAUAAUAUAUCAAGUGAUAAGAAAACUGCGGCUAAAACAAUUGUUAAAAUGAAAACAAAACGAAAAGCCAUUUCGGAACGAUAUCGCUUAAGUAAAUCCUGGUGCGAAGAAGAUGCCAUACUGGCCCUUAAGGCCGAAGAGUCAAAUGCCAGAAAACUACAGACAGAUAUAAUAUUAAUCAUUCGUUUUCCUGAUCCUGAACUAAGUCGUGAAAUUGUAAAAUGUUAUAGUCCUGAUAUAGAAUCUGUGCAUUUUCAAUUGAAUUAUGCGCCACGUUAUUGUUUGGUACAUCUGAAACCAGGAACAGAUGUGGAGAAAACUAUCGAUGAUCUAUCGAAGGUACCAUUUGGUACGGGAUUUUUAUCAGUGGAAAUUAAACAAAUUCCCUAUAAAGUUCAUAGUACUAAAUUGAAUGAAGUUGAUCCUUAUACUUUGUACGUGGGCAAUUUGCCAACAACUAUAGCAUGUAAAACCCUAAAGAAUCAUUUUCCUGGUGCUGCACGUAUUGAUAUUGGUUUUGCACAACGUAUGAAAUAUACUCGUUAUGCAUUUAUACGCUAUCAAAGUGUAGAGAAGGCCAUUGAUGCCUACAAUCGUAUGUUGGAUGCUGAAAUAGGUGGUCGUACAAUAACUAUACGUUUUAGACGUGUUACAGCUACAACUGAGGGCAAUAAAGAUGGAGAUGCUGAACAUCUCGAUAGUAUGCAUGAUGAUGAACUAAUAAAUCACACAACACUAGAAUCAGAUGAAAAAACUGUUGGAGAAAAUACCGAAUCAUUUGAUGUUUUACAGGCAAAUAAUACUGCAGAUGUUGAGGAACAUAACUCAAAUGAUGGCGUUGAAAAAGUUUCACAUGAUUUGGAUAUAAGUACUGAUAAUAAUUCAACGGAAGCCGCUUCCACUGCUGAAAAAAAUUCAGAAGCAGAAGAUAAUGUUUUUAUACCUCUAACGUCGUCCACUUCAAUUACAAGCACAAUUGAGAGUUUACACAAUAAAACAAAGUUAUGUUUUUCAACUGGAGACAAUUCAGCAUUGGAAACCAAUAACACUGAACCUCCUACAAUCAGCACAAGUCAAGCAAACAAUAGCAACUCAAUAGUCCCUAAUAUAAAACCAGAACCUGAUAUUGAUCCGUCUGAUAUAGUUAUACGCGAUAAUGCUCUAACUUCUCGCUUGGAUGGAAACAAUGAUAAUAUAAAACAGGAGGAACAAAUAGCAUUAUAUGAUGAAUUUUUUGCACCUCCCAAUAAUCAAAAUGAUAAUAAUAAGGAAAAUUCAGGAAAGUCAAAUAAUAAUGAUGUAGUUUCUUUACAUUCAACAGCUGAUGAAACAGAUACCAUGUCUACGGUAUCGACAAAUAGUUUAGGAGAGUUUUUACAAAAUUGUCAGAGAUCUCAGAUGCGUGCCAAUUGUAUGGAAAAUUUAGGACCGCCACCAGCUAAAAGAAAUAAACAACCUGAAGACGUUUUGACAGCCACAGUUAAACAAGAAUCACCAGAAAGUAACAAUAUUGUAACUGCGAAAGAUUUAACACAAUUUACUAAAGAUACGAUUGCUGCGGCUAACGUUAAACAGGAGCUUUUGGAAGAACCAAAUGUUAGUGAUAAAACUACUUCUACUACAGACUCUGCAAAUAAAAAAGUUCCUAAAAGAAGAGAUAGAGUACAAGCAGCAAUAAAUCCUGUCAUUACUAAAAACUCCACAAUAUCUGCUAGUACUGACGAUGUAGUACCCUCAACGGCAUUGUUUUUUAGAAGUAAUAGUCAAACUAGUUUAACAGUACCUAGCAAUGACAGUGAUUAUGAUGAGUUCUAUGAUACUCGCACAAAUAUAUCAUCCCAGACAACUACUAGUGUUGCAAAUAUUAAAAAAGAACCCCUUAACAUAUCAGCAAACAAAAGCACAAAUGAAAAUUGUAGACCUAAAGAAGAAAAUGGAGAAGUACUUAAUAGAAGAGAUGUAAAUAAAGAAAGUAAACUAAGUCAAAUGAGAAAUAAUAUAAGUUCCCUUACAACAUCAAAUACUCCUAUUGAUGAAGAUGAUUUAGUACCGGCACAAAAUAUUUUGGGCUCCUAUCGGCCUUUUCGCAGUGAAAUUAAAGAAGAAAUGGAACAUGAUGAUAUAUUUGCGGUACCCAUUAACAGAGCAAAUAAUUUAAGCGAAAAUAAUUAUUUGGACAAUCUUAACAAUGAAACAGUUUCGAAUUUGACGUCUCUGUCAGAUAGAAGUUCAGCAACAAGAAAUGAUAUUGGGAAAAGAAGUACGGAAUUUAAGGAAAAUGAUGAUGAUGUCAUCAUCGUAUCCGAAAACAUAACGCCUCAAGCCAAGCAAACAAAUUCAAAUUCAUCACUAUUAAAUAACAUCAUUUUCCGCCGUCAUACGGAUUUAGUAACAUUUACAUCGAAACCUAUUGUCGCCGUAACAAUUCCUAAACGUGAAGUUUCUACGCUAAUACAUCAUGAUAAUCUCGAUAGAUUGUAUGAACAAUUAGAUGCCGACUCAGACAACGAGUUAUGAUACUUCAUAUGGCGAAAAAAACAACAAACACUCUUUUAGUAACAAGGUGUUUAUUAUACAUACUGAAAUUGUGUAAAUAGGUUGUAAAUAGGGAAACGUACGGAUAUAAUUCCCUAAAAAAGAAAAGGAACAAAAAAAGAACACAGAUUCUAUGUUUUUAAAUUUUAUAAAUGCAAAAGAACAAUUUAUAUAGUUUCACUUGAGUUGAGUCUAUUCAGUCUUGUUGUAUGUUUGUUGGAAUCAAGUCGAAUUAAUCUGUCACAUAUAUGUACAUAAGAAAGUUUUGUUAUUGGAAAUCUGUAAGUUUUGGUGCAAAAAUGGCUGCCACAAGAUUUAAAAUAAUAACUACUUCGAUUUAUUGAUUUAUUUAGUUCUAGAACUACUGCAAACGUAAACUCUUCAGAUUCUUAAACCGCAAUCUAGUUUGGUGAUGCCGCCAUUACUUUUGGAAACCGUUCAGUUACCUAUUAAUAAGUCUAUAGAUGAGACUAUAGACUAUACUCUAGACUAAGCUAUAGACUAAACUAUAGACUAGACUAUAGACUAG